AAACUGUGAGGGGUGUACUCACUUUUGUGAGAUAAUGUGUGUAUAUAUAUAUAUAUAUAUAUAUACACACAUUAUAUAUAUAUACACACAUUAUCUCACAAAAGUGAGUACACCCCUCACAGUUU
This is a non-coding RNA of Pelobates cultripes (western spadefoot toad), 125 nucleotides long. Lineage: Eukaryota; Metazoa; Chordata; Amphibia; Anura; Pelobatidae. The record is from the annotation of a GenBank genome assembly.